CUUCUGAUUCCAAUUGCAGAUCCAAGCCAGAUCUAUUCCGCCACUUUUGGAAGGCAAAAAUGUUCUUGGAGCUGCAAGGACAUGUUCUGGAAAGACCCUUGCUUUUCUGAUAUCUGCUGUGGAGUUGUUACAUCAAAUCUGAACGGGGGUAAUUGUCAACUGCCCAACUAGGGAACUUGCCAUACAGACACAUGCAAUGGCAAAGGACCUUCUUAAUCAUCAUUCACAAACUCUUGGCUUGGUUAUUGGUGGUGCAGCUCACAGGGGAGAAGCAGAGCGUAUUGUGAAAGGAGUAAAUCUGUUAGUAGCAACCCCUGGCUGACUUCUUGACCACCUACAGAACACUAAGGGAUUCAUAUAUAAAAAUCUAAAG
Non-coding RNA from Camellia sinensis, 373 nucleotides. The record is from RefSeq and is a predicted model, not a curated record. NCBI's taxonomy places the organism in Eukaryota, Viridiplantae, Streptophyta, Magnoliopsida, Ericales, Theaceae.